This 29-nucleotide non-coding RNA is filed under the name Mus musculus (house mouse). Lineage: Eukaryota; Metazoa; Chordata; Mammalia; Rodentia; Muridae. The record is from RNAcentral.
UGAGGAGUCUAGACAUGCUUUUGAAGCGC